CACGUGAUGAUGACGCCACGUAUCACGUGCGACUGACGUCACCGGAGAACGAAUCGCCGCUACGAAGCAGCCGCAAUUAUCAACUGAGAUCGGUGUUUAUUUGGGGCCUUGAGGGAAGAUGAAGCAGAACUCGAAUGUUCCGGCAUUUCUCAGCAAGCUUUGGACUUUAGUGGAGGAUUCUGACACAAACGAGUUCAUUACUUGGAGUCAGAAUGGACAGAGCUUUUUGGUUCUUGACGAGCAGCGGUUUGCUAAAGAGAUUCUACCAAAGUAUUUCAAGCACAACAACAUGGCUAGCUUUGUAAGACAAUUAAACAUGUAUGGUUUCCGUAAAGUGGUACAUAUAGACUCUGGCAUUGUUAAGCAAGAGCGGGAUGGACCAGUGGAAUUUCAACACCCAUUCUUUGUCCAAGGGCAGGAUGAAUUAUUGGAAAAUAUAAAGAGGAAGGUGUCCUCAACAAGACCAGAAGAAGGCAAAGUGUGCCAGGAAGAUAUAUCGACAAUUUUAAGCAAUGCUGCAAAGGUCCAAGUCCAACAAGAAACUAUUGAUUUGCGAUUGUUUACAUUAAAAAGGGACAACGAAGCUUUGUGGAGAGAAAUAUCUGACUUGCGUAACAAACAUGUCCAGCAGCAACAAGUUAUUCGAAAGAUUGUGCAGUUUAUUGUGACUCUGGUGCAGAAAAACAGAUUAGUCAGUCUAAAGAGAAAACAGCCAUUACUUUUGAACACAAAUAACUCUCCAAAAUCCACGCGCCUACAGACGAUGGUUAAGGAGACAGUGGAAGAUAAUCAUCAUGUUUCCCUUAGGAGUGAAGGCUUAAAAAGAGGGGAGCUUCCAGAAGACAUUGUCAUAUAUGACAUAACUGAUAACAUGGAAUUUGAGGAGGAGGAGGUAAAGCAACAGGAAGCAGGAGCUCAUGCUGUUUGUGAAAGUUCUGGUGAAAGCACCUCGAAUGCGGUGGCUGAGAGGCUUUCACCAGAAAUUGUAAUAGUGGAAGAUGAUAGUGAUUAUGAAGACGCUCCAGUUGUGCAAGGAAAAAAAAAUGCUGAGACUGGUCUUCGUAGCCCUGCUGGUGAGAACACGUCUGUUCCUCUGAUGUCAAGUGCCCUACAGCUCAACAGCCAGUCUUCUUUUAAUCUAGAGGAUCCAGUUACAAUGAUGGAUUCCAUUCUUAAUGAAAGUGGCGUUAUUUCUCAAAACCUCAACCUUCUUGGAAAAUGUAAAGUUGUUAUCCUGCUGAAGCAGAAAAGAGACUCCAAAAACUAUUUCUACAAAUUAGGAAGAUUGGAAUAUUCAAGAAUGUCAUUGUUUUAUGUGUUUGUCAUGAUCAGUGUGGCUUGAAUAGCCAUGCACAGUAAUUAAGAUGUAUUCACAUACUUUUAAUCGUAAAAUAUGCUUUAGUGAUAUGCAGGUAUACUGGCAGAUUCAGUAGAUUAGUGGCCUACAUAUCAUAUGCUUUGUAAAGUAGCUCAUACGGUAGUAUCCUAAACAAAUAAUUCCUGUGUUCAAGUCAAUAUAAACACAGAAAGUGUAAUACAGUUGCAACAUUUGCACCAGGUCUGUUAAACAUAGCAACAAGGUGGAUGGGUUUUCAAACAGGUAAUAAGUAAACGCUACCUGCUGUUGAUAUUGGCUACUAGGCCUAGUGUGUGACUUUUACGAACCCUAUAGGGUUGUCCUCCAAAUGCAUCACAUUUAGUUAGCUUAAAGGGAUUCUGUAAUUUUUAUGGUGUACUUUUUACAUUGCAAAUAAUUCACCUUUAAAAUGUUAUACUUGGAACAACAGAUGUACUAUUGUUGUGGAGGCAGCCAUCUCCGUGUAUUGUGCUCAAUUUUGAGCUUUCAAAAGGAGCCAGCACUUCACAAUAGAACUACUCUAGGGCAGCUAUUGUUUCUCCCCUUCUCUAUUUACUGUCAAUAUGACCCAAGCCAUGUAAAGGCAAAACAGUUUCUCCAUCUUGGGUGCUAUUCCCAUGUCUUCCACUAGGAGCAUAUUUAGUAAUGCAAAUGAUGUCUGAAUUUGUUUUGUUCUCUACAAUGCUAAAAUCUACUCUAUUCUUCAAGAAACUUUUUGGAAGGGUAAAGGGAUCUGGGGUCAGAUAUUAUUACCUGUGUUUUUUAAGCUUUUAUUUUGAAACAUUUAAACAUUAACAAAACCAAUAGAAAACAUAGAAAAGGAAGAGAGAGAGUUGAGUGAAGAGGGGAGGUGAGGUACAAGUUGCCAUACCUGUUAUAUGAGUUUAGAUGUACUCAAACAGUUUGAGCAUUUAGCCAGGUACCCCAUAUGGCUUCAAAUUUUCCUAGGCAGCCUCUAGCCAGAUAGGUCAGUUUCUGGUUUGAGAGAGAAGCCUGUCCUUGUAUUUUAAUGUAUUUGUGGUGCCAAUAUUCUGCCCCUCACUGUAUAAUGUAUUUCUGAAAUGUAAUUAUUGUUCAUAGAUGUUAAUGUACAAUUAUUUACUAGUGCAUACUGUGUGUAUAUAUCUUUAUCACCUUUACUGUACAAGCUAAUUGAUCUUUUCAAAAACAGAUUUCAAUGCAGGAUUCUUCUGGGGCAGCACUAUUAACUGAUGUAUGAGAGGAAAAAACAUUUUCCUGUGACAGAAUUUCUUUAAUGCAUUUCAUGCUACUGCUUGCUACUAAUGCAGUUGUCAUGAUGUGACGACCUGUAUUGGCAUUUCUAUUAAGAGUUCACAGAAUUGCAGCUUUUAUAUGCGACCAGGGCCUCUCCUGCAAUGAGGCAAGGUGAGAAUCUUGCCUCGGGUGGCAUGGAGCGGCCAGUUACCAGGGGCAGCAAAAAUCCACCUCUGGUGACUUUAAAGCCGAAUUCCCAUUUUUAAAAAAAGAUUUUCGAGUGUAGCAGCCCCUGAAACACCCCUGUACUUUUUUUUUUUUUUUUUUUAGAGUGCUCCUUUCUGGGUUUAAAUAUACAUUGAUCUCUGAAUGGUGGUAAGAAGUGUAAGAGAGUGAUACAUUGGAGCUUCAAACAACCUGACUUUUGAGUUAUUCAGCCACUUGAAUGCUCCUUGCACUUCUUUGGGCUGCUGCUCCUCCUACCUAGCUCAUUGCUGCCCAAAUCCAGGCUAAUGCUGGGCACCAACUUGGCGAGUGUUGAGGAGGCCAUCAUUUUUGGCAUUUAUGGAACAAUGGACUGACAAAUCAAUAGCUAACCCAGCUGAAAUUAAAUAUUUCAUAGUAUCACAGCUUUAAUCACCUUUCUUUUCCACAGUGUAGUACGGCAAACAAUAACGUGACCAGUUUUACAGUUAAGUUGAGCUGAUGGAUUACUUAGACAGCAUUGAUUGCACGUUGGAUGAUUUCAAAGCUUUACUGUCUGGGCGUCAAUUCAGCAUAGACCGAGAUCUGCUGGUAGAU
RNA transcript from Xenopus laevis (African clawed frog), 3373 nucleotides. It is a transcript of the gene named heat shock transcription factor 2 L homeolog, with no coding region annotated. Lineage: Eukaryota; Metazoa; Chordata; Amphibia; Anura; Pipidae. The record is from RefSeq and is marked provisional. The transcript is spliced from 11 exons.